This 67-nucleotide transfer RNA is filed under the name Oxynotus paradoxus (sailfin roughshark). Its description in RNAcentral is "tRNA-Cys". It matches the Rfam family "tRNA". From Rfam's summary of the family: Transfer RNA (tRNA) molecules are approximately 80 nucleotides in length. Their secondary structure includes four short double-helical elements and three loops (D, anti-codon, and T loops). The record is from RNAcentral. Lineage: Eukaryota; Metazoa; Chordata; Chondrichthyes; Squaliformes; Oxynotidae.
AGCCCUGUAGUAGACACAUACGUUGGAUUGCAAAUCCAAAACCGGAGGUUUCCUCCUCCCGGGGCUU